Molecule: long non-coding RNA, 521 nt
Organism: Alligator mississippiensis (American alligator)
Lineage: Eukaryota; Metazoa; Chordata; Crocodylia; Alligatoridae
Exons: 2
Source: RefSeq, a predicted model, not a curated record
CUCAGGUCCCCACAGCUCUGCAGGUGGAUCCCUUCCAGGGGCUGGUGCUCAGCUGCCAGCCAUGGGCUCCGGGGAACCUGCAGCACCAGAUGGGGAAAACCGAGGCAUGAAAGCCCCAGGACAUCCCGGAAGGCCCCACAGUGAGUCAGCAGCAGGGCCAGGAUAAUUUCAUAAACAUUAGGGCUGGAAGGGACCUCAGAAGAUCAUCACGUCCAGCCCUCUAUCCCAGGGGCAGGAAGUCGGCUAGGGUCAAAGGAUCCCAGCAAGGUAAGUGUCCAAACAUUUCUUAAAAGAGUCCAGAGUAGGUGUUUGCACCACAUCUGGAGGGAGUCUAUUCCAGGCCUUGGGGGCUCGGACAGUAAAGAAGUUUUUCCUUAUGUCCAGCCUAAAAGGGUCUUGCAGGACUUUAUGACCGUUGGACCUUGUCAUCCCUUGGGGCGCUCUGGUGAACGGGCGUUACCCCAGAUCCUGAUGCACACCCCUUAUAUACUUAUAGGCCAAAUAUAUACUUAUAUGAUGAA